Molecule: ribosomal RNA, 1445 nt
Filed under: uncultured organism
Description: SSU rRNA
Rfam family: Bacterial small subunit ribosomal RNA
Source: RNAcentral
GUUCAGGAUGAACGCUAGCUACAGGCUUAACACAUGCAAGUCGAGGGGCAGCAUGGUCUUAGCUUGCUAAGGCCGAUGGCGACCGGCGCACGGGUGAGUAACACGUAUCCAACCUGCCGUCUACUCUUGGACAGCCUUCUGAAAGGAAGAUUAAUACAAGAUGGCAUCAUGAGUCCGCAUGUUCACAUGAUUAAAGGUAUUCCGGUAGACGAUGGGGAUGCGUUCCAUUAGAUAGUAGGCGGGGUAACGGCCCACCUAGUCUUCGAUGGAUAGGGGUUCUGAGAGGAAGGUCCCCCACAUUGGAACUGAGACACGGUCCAAACUCCUACGGGAGGCAGCAGUGAGGAAUAUUGGUCAAUGGGCGCAAGCCUGAACCAGCCAAGUAGCGUGAAGGAUGACUGCCCUAUGGGUUGUAAACUUCUUUUAUAAAGGAAUAAAGUCGGGUAUGGAUACCCGUUUGCAUGUACUUUAUGAAUAAGGAUCGGCUAACUCCGUGCCAGCAGCCGCGGUAAUACGGAGGAUCCGAGCGUUAUCCGGAUUUAUUGGGUUUAAAGGGAGCGUAGAUGGAUGUUUAAGUCAGUUGUGAAAGUUUGCGGCUCAACCGUAAAAUUGCAGUUGAUACUGGAUAUCUUGAGUGCAGUUGAGGCAGGCGGAAUUCGUGGUGUAGCGGUGAAAUGCUUAGAUAUCACGAAGAACUCCGAUUGCGAAGGCAGCCUGCUAAGCUGCAACUGACAUUGAGGCUCGAAAGUGUGGGUAUCAAACAGGAUUAGAUACCCUGGUAGUCCACACGGUAAACGAUGAAUACUCGCUGUUUGCGAUAUACUGCAAGCGGCCAAGCGAAAGCGUUAAGUAUUCCACCUGGGGAGUACGCCGGCAACGGUGAAACUCAAAGGAAUUGACGGGGGCCCGCACAAGCGGAGGAACAUGUGGUUUAAUUCGAUGAUACGCGAGGAACCUUACCCGGGCUUAAAUUGCAGAUGAAUUACGGUGAAAGCCGUAAGCCGCAAGGCAUCUGUGAAGGUGCUGCAUGGUUGUCGUCAGCUCGUGCCGUGAGGUGUCGGCUUAAGUGUCAUAACGAGCGCAACCCUUGUUGUCAGUUACUAACAGGUUCCGCUGAGGACUCUGACAAGACUGCCAUCGUAAGAUGUGAGGAAGGUGGGGAUGACGUCAAAUCAGCACGGCCCUUACGUCCGGGGCUACACACGUGUUACAAUGGGGGGUACAGAGGGCCGCUACCACGCGAGUGGAUGCCAAUCCCAAAAACCUCUCUCAGUUCGGACUGGAGUCUGCAACCCGACUCCACGAAGCUGGAUUCGCUAGUAAUCGCGCAUCAGCCACGGCGCGGUGAAUACGUUCCCGGGCCUUGUACACACCGCCCGUCAAGCCAUGGGAGCCGGGGGUACCUGAAGUGCGUAACCGCGAGGAGCGCCCUAGGGUAAAACUGG